This is a small nucleolar RNA of Echinops telfairi (small Madagascar hedgehog), 108 nucleotides long. NCBI's taxonomy places the organism in Eukaryota, Metazoa, Chordata, Mammalia, Afrosoricida, Tenrecidae. The record is from RefSeq and is a predicted model, not a curated record.
AUCCAGACUACCACACAAGGGGAACCAGGUUUGCUAAAGUAAUUGUGGGGAUGGUAAUGGUUUAGCCUCGGGGACUACUGGGGUGGCCCAUUCUUUCCUACUACAGUU